RNAcentral lists this unclassified non-coding RNA (438 nucleotides) under Hevea brasiliensis (rubber tree). The record is from RNAcentral. Lineage: Eukaryota; Viridiplantae; Streptophyta; Magnoliopsida; Malpighiales; Euphorbiaceae.
CCAACAUCCCUAUCACCAAGAACAACAUGGAACGGGAGCUCAAGAAAGGGUCCUAUGAUUCGAUGAAAAUGAUGUAGCACAGAUACCCAUUUAGUUUUUGUCAACUCAAAUCCUUUAGCCGAAACAUCACCCAAUACUAGCAGCAUAUCAGGCUUCAAUGUAUGAAAAGACUUCAUGAAAAACUUGGACAGGUAAUAAUCUCUAAAAUAUUGAUUAAAAAUGCCAGCUUCGGAACCAUAGAGCAAUAAAUUAGCGACCAUCAUGACUUUCAAAUCCUCCUCCGUGUUGUCCUCUUUAUCGACGACGUACUCUUGAUUAGGGUACGCCGUUGUCGGCACGAUGGUGCAGGAUGGAGUUGAUACCCAGUCUUCGUAAGGGAAGAGAAUGCCGAAGAGCAGUAGAGGCAACAGUAGCUUCCAAUUCCAUGUGGGAAGGUCC